RNAcentral lists this ribosomal RNA (332 nucleotides) under uncultured eukaryote. RNAcentral's name for it is "bacterial SSU rRNA". It matches the Rfam family "Eukaryotic small subunit ribosomal RNA", at positions 111 to 414 of the family's 1831-position model. The record is from RNAcentral.
UGUGGUUCAUUUGAGCGUACCAGUUACAAGGAUAACUGUGGCAAUUCUAGAGCUAAUACAUGCGAAAAGCGCUGACUGCUUAGCCGGCUGGGAAGGUGGGUUUGGCGGGAUGCGUGCUUUUAUCAGACCAAAAACUGACCGGCUUCGGCCGCGACUCGAUUGGUGACUCUGGAUAACGUUGCGGAUCGCACGGUCUCAGCACCGGCGACAGAUCAUUCAAGCGUCUGCCCUAUCAACUUUCGUCGGUACGGUAUCGGCCUACCGAGGUUGUAACGGGUGACGGGGAAUCAGGGUUCGAUUCCGGAGAGGGAGCCUGAGAUACGGCUACCACA